GAAAUUUGAUUUGUUAUGUUACCUGUCCGUAUAAUGAGCCAUCCAUUCAGAGAUAAGUGGGUGUGUCUAAGAGGUGCAAUCGGAAAAAAACGUUUCACUAACUGGCAGAGACAGUCAGACCUUGGUGAGGAGCAGAGCUGAUGCUGAAGGCUUGUAGCUACGAUUUUUUCAAGUUCGACGCAGAGUCAACUUUCUGUUAAAAUUGUGGACACUGUUUGUCAUACGAGUCUUUUUUGGACCCUGUGGAAGACUGAGCACCUGUGGAAGACCGAGCACCCGUGGAAGAUCGAGCACACCCUGCCGGUCAUCUGAGCGAUUCCAACCCCCAGGCCUCAGAGAUUCCCGCCUCCGCUGUCCUGCUGCGCAGCUGGAUAACGCUGAGUUUGCCUGCAGAGCAUUUUCGCCCGCCAACAGUUGCCCUAACCAUCCGAUAAGACACGGAACCAACCACCGUAGGGAGGAUGAAGGGGAGAUCGGUGGGCGUCAUGUCGGACAAAAACAAACUAGGCAGACUGGAACGAUGACCGUGGGACGCAAUGGUGCACGGGGCCAGGAGCCAACGUCAAACGGGGACCCGGGCGCAGACGACUAACAAAAACUCCCCUGGAAUUCGGAGCAGCUGUCCAAACACCAACUCUGCUGAGAACGCGUCUAGGAGCAUUGGGCAACCCUGGCGUUAGGACCCCAAGGCCAAAGGACAGGCACCGUGCACUGUUCCGGGCAGCAUCAAUCAGGGCGUUUGGGUGCUGGACAGCGAGACGCUAGCCAAGGAUGGAGCAAGGACCCAGAGGACCAAGGAGCCGCCCAGGAUAAUAAUAGGUGUGGUAUGUGUGUAUCUGUGUAAUAUUGUAAUAUUCAGUGUAAUAUUCUCUGGUCCCCUGCUGAACCUAGUCAAUGAUGAAAAGUAAAGCUGCUUUUUAUCACUUAACCACUGGUUUAGGGGUGUAAGAAAAAACGGAUUCGGCAAAACAUCGCGAUAUUUCAUUUGGCAAUACUUGUAUCGUUUCAAAAUGCUGCCAGGACUGUAUUUAUUUAAUUAUUUCCGAGCGUCCUUCAAUGUCUGACUCUUGUUGUCCACUUCACCCUCUGACCGCUAGUUAGCAGCAGAGCACACGGAGCGUCUUAGAGCAGCUCUACUCCACACAACACAACAGGAAGACUGUAGCCAGAGGCAGCUUGUUUCUGUUAUGAGACAUGAAAUACUUCAUUUUUACGUGGGAUGGAUACCAAAAACGAGUGAAGCAUGGCAGCGGCUAAUAGGCUUAUACUCUUAGCAUCGGCUAAAAUGCUAUCGGCAAAGCGGGCUAAAGUUCUGCAGAACCUCCCAGCAAUGGAUUCUAGUUUA
Non-coding RNA from Oryzias latipes (Japanese medaka), 1345 nucleotides. Lineage: Eukaryota; Metazoa; Chordata; Actinopteri; Beloniformes; Adrianichthyidae. The record is from RefSeq and is a predicted model, not a curated record.